UUUUGUAGUUGGAGCCUUUUGAGACAUAUCCCCUCCCUCAGAGUAUGGGGAGCAAUUCUACCUGGAGUUUGAUUCCUGUAGAAGAGCAAAUCCAGUCUUUUACCCAGUACUACAGUUUCACUGAAGCAGCAGGGACUGGCAAGGAAUGCUUGUAAUAUGGAACAUAUCAUGUAUAGUAAAAUGUCAUUUUCAAGUACUUUCUGAACUGUCGUCCCAGUAAUGAAGCAGCUCUGAAAUAUCACAUGACUUUCUCAGUGUGUUGCACUCUGUAUAACCUUGCCUUUGAUCGUGAUGUCAUUUCAGAUGAAAGGCUCGCACGGAGAACCGUACGCUGUGCAUUAGGAGCAGCAGAGAUCCUCUGGGAUCUGAACAGAGAAGGACUGUUUGAGAUGUGCACUCUAUGCUUGUCAAAGAGAAGCAGCUGUCCAUUUCUGUGCAGGAACAGACAUAAGUUAGAGGCUGUCAGUACUGCUGCAGAAGCAAACCACUGAGCUCAUGGACUGCCUCUGCCAAUGGCUAAGGUCAGCUACUGGAAAAAUUUACAAACCAGCUAUUAGAGCCAGUUAUGAUCCUGCAGAAGGGCCUCCACUGAGAACUGGUAUUCUUUGCUCAUUUUUGUGCAGUUCAGUAAGUCUCUGCCCUGGAAAACAGCUUCUCAUUCUCAAAACAAGGACAGCAAGAUGUGUGCAGGUCAGUUUGGGGAUAGGGAUUUAUUUUUUUGACCAUUAAGGUUUUCUGUCAUAAAAUUCCUUUUAUGUUGACAAAUGGGGAUCAUUCCUGAAAAUAGUCAGGACAGCUUGUCUAUGUGGUAGAUUUUCUUCUCCUCCCCUACCCUUAAAGCAUUACAGGAGCUUAAGCAACACUUCUGUCUGACAUGGAGGGCAAAGACACCAGUCUGAUAGAAAGGAUGCAGUGCCACCACUGCAGACCAAGGAAUUCUCAAUCCUUACCUAAACAUGGGGACUCUCUGACACCUCUGCUCUGGUCAGCAGCCUUCUCUGUAGGACACAGGCUGGGAUCUAGUUACAAUUUUAAUGAGAAGAGCUCAGAAAAGUUAUUAGUGACUGUAGGAGAAAAGCAAGUGAGGAGACCAUAAAUCAGGCCCUCAGAUGAAUUCAGAAUGCACUAAUAAAAUCAGAACUUCCAAUAAAUUUUGUUUCA
Molecule: long non-coding RNA, 1161 nt
Filed under: Junco hyemalis (dark-eyed junco)
Lineage: Eukaryota; Metazoa; Chordata; Aves; Passeriformes; Passerellidae
Description: lncRNA (ENSJHYG00000009298.1)
Source: RNAcentral